Molecule: long non-coding RNA, 654 nt
Filed under: Elaeis guineensis (African oil palm)
Lineage: Eukaryota; Viridiplantae; Streptophyta; Magnoliopsida; Arecales; Arecaceae
Description: long non-coding RNA (EGUI_LNC018001)
Source: RNAcentral
CCCAUUUUUGAUUCUAACUCUAGUCUUGAACCAAAUAUGUCAGAGGAUAUGGCCAUUCUGUGAAUUCCAAUUUUGAUUCUAUUUGUGAAUCAAACACUCCCCAAUGUAUUGUUGUCCUUAGUGAGGACUCCUGGGGCAUGUUUGAUAAAAUCCCAUAAGAUCGAGCAUGAGAAUGGUGGGGGAAGAGGAUGUUAGAGGGUUAGUGGAAAGAAGUAAGGGAGCAGGAGAAGGGAGAGGAAGAGCAUGGGGGGUGUCGGAACCUAAUCCCUAUGAGAUGUAGAAAAGAUCUCAAUCCCUUCCAUCCCCACCUCUGGCCCAUCAUAGAUUAUCCAUGCUGGCCCAUAGAUGAUCCAUUAUGGACCUUAACCUAAGUGCACAUUUGAUGAAAAAUAUUUCUUUAUAUAAAUUACAUUUACCUUUUCUGGGGGUAAUGUUUUGAUGAAUUUUUUAUUUUUAUUUUUUUACAGUGUCAAACAUUAAGGAGAGGACAAACAAAAGAUAAGUCAAAUGAGCAAGCAAAUCAACAUGUCAUAUGAAUUCUUUAAUUGGAAUUGUAUAUCCACAUGAUCCCAUGGGUAGAAAUCCUUUACCAAUUGAGAUAUGUCCUAUUGUAGAUACACAAAUAUUUAUGAUUUUCUAAAAAAAAUAUUGAGC